This 379-nucleotide ribosomal RNA is filed under the name Boophis andohahela. Its description in RNAcentral is "partial 16S ribosomal RNA". It matches the Rfam family "Bacterial large subunit ribosomal RNA", at positions 1982 to 2527 of the family's 2925-position model. The record is from RNAcentral. Lineage: Eukaryota; Metazoa; Chordata; Amphibia; Anura; Mantellidae.
GAGGACUAGAAUCAACGGCACCACGAGGAUCCUACUGUCUCCCUACUCCAAUCAGUGAAACUGAUCUCUCCGUGAAGAAGCGGGGAUACAAAUAUAAGACGAGAAGACCCCAUGGAGCUUUAAACCCAACGACACCCAUUUUCUUUAUACCCUANUAUUCAUUUGGCUAUGUUUGAUUGGUUUUAGGUUGGGGUGACCACGGAGCAUAAAAUAACCUCCACGAAGAAGAGACUAAUAAUCUUUAUCAAAGAAGUACACUUCUAAGAAUUAACAAAUUAAUUUCCAAUGAUCCGAUAUUCGAUCAACGAACCAAGUUACCCUGGGGAUAACAGCGCAAUCCACCUCAAGAGCUCCUAUCGACAGGUGGGUUUACGACCUC